Paramisgurnus dabryanus is the source of this 358-nucleotide non-coding RNA. Lineage: Eukaryota; Metazoa; Chordata; Actinopteri; Cypriniformes; Cobitidae. The record is from RefSeq and is a predicted model, not a curated record.
GGCUCUGAAAACAAACUGCUCUGAGAUUGUUUGAACAAAAACACUUAUUUCGUCUUGGGAACGAGAGGCGGAGAUGGUUGGGGAAAUAAAGGGGCUGUUCCUGUCAAGCAGAUAUCACUGCAGAGCAGAGACCUGCAGGUGGGAGGAGCUAACGCCAAGAACUGCAUGUGUGAGGAAGCUUACACGGCAAAGUAUGUUGUGACCCUGGCUGUGUGACAGGCCUCCUCUAUCUCAAGUCCUACGGGGAUUUUUGCUUCACACGGACCACUGCUCCUAGAUGAAGAUAUAACAGGUGACCCAUUAACUGAUGGCUGCUUUCUACGAAUGCAAGUGUAACUCCUUAAUGCUUCACCACUGU